GGGAAGGAGUGCAUCUCAGAGCUCCAGGGAGAAGUUUGGUGGGAAGUCCAAAGCCAGGAAAGGGGGAACUAUAGAAGCCCUGGAGAGAUAACAGCUGCACUGCAGCAAGGACUGGAGCUGAUGGUGGGGAGCUGAAACACGAACCCUGCAGCUUUGUUCAGGCUUCCCCACAAGGCAUUUAUUUCUCUAUGACUUCUGGAUUGCAAGUGCCCAGUAUGGAGGACUGCAACAAUCCCAUGGAAGGGAUGAGAGAGAGGGUUGAAGAUGGAGUGCUUCUUCCAGGAGUUAAUGAUGGGUAGUUUGUGCAGAGGCACAGCUCUGUGCCUUGGGUAGCUGCAUAGUGCCGGGGCAGUGCCAACUUCUACUGUGCCAAUUGUGCCAGACCAAUCAGCUGCUGCUGUGGCAAUGACUGCUUUUCUGUCCUCCAACCAGGUGGCACUCAGGGCUGCUACCCCAUUCACCUUCCCCACCCUCACUUCCCAGUUAUGCUGCUACAUAUGUGCCCAUAUCUAUAUGACCUAAAUGCACCCUUCACCAGUGUGGGCCUUUGACAGUUAAACCCUAAAUUCUGAAUGUUACAUUUAAUAAUGGAGUCCAGUGGCUCUGGACUAGUUUUUUAUACUGCUUUCCUGCAAUGAGUAACAGGAGGUUGCCCUUGAUUUCCUAUCUGCAGCUGAGGUAAUCAGCUAGGUUCAAACUAAGAUUCUUUUCUAGGUUGGAACAGAGGGUUUACUUUUUUGAAGCUACAAUAAAAAUUUGGGCCAAAUAAACAGCUGUACACCCGAAUUAAAAAAAACAAGCAAAACCUCCCAGAACAAAAACGAAACUCAGAUGCCUGCAGUGGAUGUAAUCAGGGAAUCUGCUGAUCUGUUUAAUUUUGUUUUGUGUGGGGGGGGUGCAUCAGAAAACACGUGAAAAAAAGCUGAAACCCCACCCCAGAGGCUUUUUCCUUCCUGAGUAUGUGAAAUGGGGUUAUUUAUUCCUCUGCAAAGUGAUGUAAAUUUGGCAUUCAACAUAUAUAUCAAAUUUUACACAAAUGUUAUUGUGAUUUAGUGACAUCUUAAACUGCCUGCAAAGAGCUGUAAUUAAUAGAUUCAAAGAACUUAAGGGGAAAACAGACUAUUAGAUCAUGUCACUUCCUGUCUGUCAUGGCUGCUGCUCCUGCAGUGUCAUCAACUGAAGACUGGGGAGGGUGUCCAUGUCACCUGUAACCCCGGGCUUCACCCCUAGCUGGUAGGUUUCUGUGGGUCUGUAACACUGGCCAUGUAGAGAUAUUACAUUCAUGUCACUACAAACACACUUAUAAUGUUGUAAUGCCAUCAUACAUAUAUGUAAACUGUCUGCCAUGUUACAAAAAAUGAUGGAUCUACCACAAAAAUGUUCCUCUUUCACAGAGGAACUUUUCUGUAGCAGUAGGGCAGUUUGCAAUGCCACAUGUAACAUCUGUUUAGCACUUCAGGGGGGCCCUCAGACCCCCAGCAUCCCACAGUCCUCUGCUCUCCCUCCCCUCCUCCAAGGGUGGAUGUAUUUGUAUUCAGUAAUAUAUACAGUUCAUUCUGAAGUCAGUUACAAAUAGUGCACACAGCUCUGAUUAAAUAAACAGCCUUUUGUAUAUUGUCAAACCCAUGGUAUGCAUCACUGCCCAUGUUUAUUGCCCUUGUGUAACAAGCAUAAAACGUUUCAUUAAUAAGAAAAAAAAUAUCCAGCACUGUUUUUUCAAAAGCUUCAGGAACUCUAAUGGGUUAAAAAUCAGCAGCCUUUUAAUUUUGUUUCAUUAAGUAACAGACCAUUAAAAAUAUUAUGUCAAAACAGCAGCAGCUUCCAUUACCUCUCAUGGGAGUCCCACUAAUGACUUAAGCCUCCUAUUCAGUGAACAGAGAAAAACAGUUAGUGACAGUAUCAUUCUGCACAGCUAUUGAUUACACUGCCUAACAAUUAAAGAGCCAGAUUACAAACAUGCCUGUCACCUUAAUGUGAAAAUCAUUGCUUAUUUUAAAAAUAAAGUUACCUCUUUCACACUGUGCCCAUCUUCAUUUCAAAUAUUCAUUC
Long non-coding RNA from Alligator mississippiensis (American alligator), 2049 nucleotides. RefSeq lists it as uncharacterized. The transcript is spliced from 3 exons. The record is from RefSeq and is a predicted model, not a curated record. NCBI's taxonomy places the organism in Eukaryota, Metazoa, Chordata, Crocodylia, Alligatoridae.